CGGGAGACACACGGCGGGUGCUAACGUCCGUCGUGAAGAGGGAAACAACCCAGACCGCCAGCUAAGGUCCCAAAGUCAUGGUUAAGUGGGAAACGAUGUGGGAAGGCCCAGACAGCCAGGAUGUUGGCUUAGAAGCAGCCAUCAUUUAAAGAAAGCGUAAUAGCUCACUGGUCGAGUCGGCCUGCGCGGAAGAUGUAACGGGGCUAAACCAUGCACCGAAGCUGCGGCAGCGACACUAUGUGUUGUUGGGUAGGGGAGCGUUCUGUAAGCCUGUGAAGGUGUGCUGUGAGGCAUGCUGGAGGUAUCAGAAGUGCGAAUGCUGACAUAAGUAACGAUAAAGCGGGUGAAAAGCCCGCUCGCCGGAAGACCAAGGGUUCCUGUCCAACGUUAAUCGGGGCAGGGUGAGUCGACCCCUAAGGCGAGGCCGAAAGGCGUAGUCGAUGGGAAACAGGUUAAUAUUCCUGUACUUGGUGUUACUGCGAAGGGGGGACGGAGAAGGCUAUGUUGGCCGGGCGACGGUUGUCCCGGUUUAAGCGUGUAGGCUGGUUUUCCAGGCAAAUCCGGAAAAUCAAGGCUGAGGCGUGAUGACGAGGCACUACGGUGCUGAAGCAACAAAUGCCCUGCUUCCAGGAAAAGCCUCUAAGCAUCAGGUAACAUCAAAUCGUACCCCAAACCGACACAGGUGGUCAGGUAGAGAAUACCAAGGCGCUUGAGAGAACUCGGGUGAAGGAACUAGGCAAAAUGGUGCCGUAACUUCGGGAGAA
RNAcentral lists this ribosomal RNA (764 nucleotides) under Escherichia coli. RNAcentral's name for it is "partial 23S ribosomal RNA". It matches the Rfam family "Bacterial large subunit ribosomal RNA", at positions 978 to 1744 of the family's 2925-position model. Lineage: Bacteria; Pseudomonadati; Pseudomonadota; Gammaproteobacteria; Enterobacterales; Enterobacteriaceae. The record is from RNAcentral.